AGAUAGCUUUGCUAUCUUUGCCGGCGAGCGGCGGACGGGUGAGUAAUGCCUAGGGAUCUGCCCAGUCGAGGGGGAUAACAGUUGGAAACGACUGCUAAUACCGCAUACGCCCUACGGGGGAAAGGAGGGGACCUUCGGGCCUUCCGCGAUUGGAUGAACCUAGGUGGGAUUAGCUAGUUGGUGAGGUAAUGGCUCACCAAGGCGACGAUCCCUAGCUGUUCUGAGAGGAUGAUCAGCCACACUGGGACUGAGACACGGCCCAGACUCCUACGGGAGGCAGCAGUGGGGAAUAUUGCACAAUGGGGGAAACCCUGAUGCAGCCAUGCCGCGUGUGUGAAGAAGGCCUUCGGGUUGUAAAGCACUUUCAGUAGGGAGGAAAGGUAGCAGCUUAAUACGCUGUUGCUGUGACGUUACCUACAGA
This 421-nucleotide ribosomal RNA is filed under the name Shewanella baltica. Its description in RNAcentral is "bacterial SSU rRNA". It matches the Rfam family "Bacterial small subunit ribosomal RNA", at positions 72 to 485 of the family's 1533-position model. The record is from RNAcentral. Lineage: Bacteria; Pseudomonadati; Pseudomonadota; Gammaproteobacteria; Alteromonadales; Shewanellaceae.